Molecule: ribosomal RNA, 284 nt
Filed under: uncultured bacterium
Lineage: Bacteria
Description: partial 16S ribosomal RNA
Rfam family: Bacterial small subunit ribosomal RNA
Source: RNAcentral
UGAGAUGUUGGGUUAAGUCCCGCAACGAGCGCAACCCUUGUCAUUAGUUGCUACAUUUAGUUGGGCACUCUAAUGAGACUGCCGGUGACAAACCGGAGGAAGGUGGGGAUGACGUCAAGUCCUCAUGGCCCUUAUAGGUGGGGCUACACACGUCAUACAAUGGCUGGUACAGAGGGUUGCCAACCCGCGAGGGGGAGCUAAUCCCAUAAAACCAGUCGUAGUCCGGAUCGCAGUCUGCAACUCGACUGCGUGAAGUCGGAAUCGCUAGUAAUCGCGGAUCAGCA